Molecule: transfer RNA, 68 nt
Filed under: Megacopta centronubila
Lineage: Eukaryota; Metazoa; Arthropoda; Insecta; Hemiptera; Plataspidae
Description: tRNA-Trp
Source: RNAcentral
AAAGCUUUAAGUUAAGCAUUAAACUAUUAACCUUCAAAGUUAAAAAUACAUUACAUAUGUAAGCUUUA